RNAcentral lists this transfer RNA (86 nucleotides) under Nematostella vectensis (starlet sea anemone). It matches the Rfam family "tRNA". Rfam says of the family: Transfer RNA (tRNA) molecules are approximately 80 nucleotides in length. Their secondary structure includes four short double-helical elements and three loops (D, anti-codon, and T loops). Lineage: Eukaryota; Metazoa; Cnidaria; Anthozoa; Actiniaria; Edwardsiidae. The record is from Rfam by way of RNAcentral.
CCUUCGAUAGCUCAAUUGGUAGAGCGGGGGACUGUAGAUUUAUAAUUGUGAUCCCUAGGUCGCUGGUUCGAAUCCGGCUCGAAGAU